GUUGUACUCUUCCGACCCAAAAUUCUUGUCUUAAAUUUGUCUAAAUACGGAUGUAUCAAGUCAUGUUUUAGUAUUAGAUACAUCUAUAUCUAGACAAAAAGACAAGAAUUUUGAGACAGAGGGAGUACUUG
This is a non-coding RNA of Triticum urartu, 131 nucleotides long. The record is from Rfam. NCBI's taxonomy places the organism in Eukaryota, Viridiplantae, Streptophyta, Magnoliopsida, Poales, Poaceae.